This is a small nucleolar RNA of Podarcis muralis (Common wall lizard), 79 nucleotides long. Ensembl annotates it as small nucleolar RNA SNORD53/SNORD92. Its record names the gene SNORD53. The record is from Ensembl. NCBI's taxonomy places the organism in Eukaryota, Metazoa, Chordata, Lepidosauria, Squamata, Lacertidae.
AUGCUGUGAUGACUUUGAUCUUGGUUUCGCUUUUUGCUGAAUUCCAAUGACGACACAUUUCUCUUGGCUGUCUGAGCAU